AGGGCGGGACACGUGGUAUCCUGUCUGAAUAUGGGGGGACCAUCCUCCAAGGCUAAAUACUCCUGACUGACCGAUAGUGAACCAGUACCGUGAGGGAAAGGCGAAAAGAACCCCGGCGAGGGGAGUGAAAAAGAACCUGAAACCGUGUACGUACAAGCAGUGGGAGCACGCUUAGGCGUGUGACUGCGUACCUUUUGUAUAAUGGGUCAGCGACUUAUAUUCUGUAGCAAGGUUAACCGAAUAGGGGAGCCGAAGGGAAACCGAGUCUUAACUGGGCGUUAAGUUGCAGGGUAUAGACCCGAAACCCGGUGAUCUAGCCAUGGGCAGGUUGAAGGUUGGGUAACACUAACUGGAGGACCGAACCGACUAAUGUUGAAAAAUUAGCGGAUGACUUGUGGCUGGGGGUGAAAGGCCAAUCAAACCGGGAGAUAGCUGGUUCUCCCCGAAAGCUAUUUAGGUAGCGCCUCGUGAAUUCAUCUCCGGGGGUAGAGCACUGUUUCGGCAAGGGGGUCAUCCCGACUUACCAACCCGAUGCAAACUGCGAAUACCGGAGAAUGUUAUCACGGGAGACACACGGCGGGUGCUAACGUCCGUCGUGAAGAGGGAAACAACCCAGACCGCCAGCUAAGGUCCCAAAGUCAUGGUUAAGUGGGAAACGAUGUGGGAAGGCCCAGACAGCCAGGAUGUUGGCUUAGAAGCAGCCAUCAUUUAAAGAAAGCGUAAUAGCUCACUGGUCGAGUCGGCCUGCGCGGAAGAUGUAACGGGGCUAAACCAUG
RNAcentral lists this ribosomal RNA (776 nucleotides) under Escherichia coli. RNAcentral's name for it is "partial 23S ribosomal RNA". It matches the Rfam family "Bacterial large subunit ribosomal RNA", at positions 414 to 1191 of the family's 2925-position model. Lineage: Bacteria; Pseudomonadati; Pseudomonadota; Gammaproteobacteria; Enterobacterales; Enterobacteriaceae. The record is from RNAcentral.